This 376-nucleotide ribosomal RNA is filed under the name Curtobacterium citreum. RNAcentral's name for it is "bacterial SSU rRNA". It matches the Rfam family "Bacterial small subunit ribosomal RNA", at positions 126 to 515 of the family's 1533-position model. The record is from RNAcentral. Lineage: Bacteria; Bacillati; Actinomycetota; Actinomycetes; Micrococcales; Microbacteriaceae.
CUGCCCCUGACUCUGGGAUAAGCGUUGGAAACGACGUCUAAUACUGGAUAUGACCGCCGAUCGCAUGGUCUGGUGGUGGAAAGAUUUUUUGGUUGGGGAUGGACUCGCGGCCUAUCAGCUUGUUGGUGAGGUAAUGGCUCACCAAGGCGACGACGGGUAGCCGGCCUGAGAGGGUGACCGGCCACACUGGGACUGAGACACGGCCCAGACUCCUACGGGAGGCAGCAGUGGGGAAUAUUGCACAAUGGGCGAAAGCCUGAUGCAGCAACGCCGCGUGAGGGAUGACGGCCUUCGGGUUGUAAACCUCUUUUAGUAGGGAAGAAGCGAAAGUGACGGUACCUGCAGAAAAAGCACCGGCUAACUACGUGCCAGCAGC